GAUGAACGCUGGCGGCGUGCCUAAUACAUGCGAGUCGAGCGAACAGACGAGGAGCUUGCUCCUCUGACGUUAGCGGCGGACGGGUGAGUAACACGUGGAUAACCUACCUAUAAGACUGGGAUAACUUCGGGAAACCGGAGCUAAUACCGGAUAAUAUAUUGAACCGCAUGGUUCAAUAGUGAAAGACGGUUUUGCUGUCACUUAUAGAUGGAUCCGCGCCGCAUUAGCUAGUUGGUAAGGUAACGGCUUACCAAGGCAACGAUGCGUAGCCGACCCGAGAGGGUGAUCGGCCACACUGGAACUGAGACACGGUCCAGACUCCUACGGGAGGCAGCAGUAGGGAAUCUUCCGCAAUGGGCGAAAGCCUGACGGAGCAACGCUGCGUGAGUGAUGAAGGUCUUCGGAUCGUAAAACUCUGUUAUUAGGGAAGAACAAAUGUGUAAGUAACUAUGCACGUCUUGACGGUACCUAAUCAGAAAGCCACGGCUAACUACGUG
RNAcentral lists this ribosomal RNA (497 nucleotides) under uncultured bacterium. Its description in RNAcentral is "partial 16S ribosomal RNA". It matches the Rfam family "Bacterial small subunit ribosomal RNA", at positions 28 to 507 of the family's 1533-position model. The record is from RNAcentral.